AUUGAACGCUGGCGGCAGGCUUAACACAUGCAAGUCGAGCGGAGAGAGGUAGCUUGCUACUGAUCUUAGCGGCGGACGGGUGAGUAAUGCGUAGGAAUCUGCCUAUUAGUGGGGGACAACAGUUCGAAAGGAAUGCUAAUACCGCAUACGUCCUACGGGAGAAAGCAGGGGAUCUUCGGACCUUGCGCUAAUAGAUGAGCCUAAGUCGGAUUAGCUAGGUGGUGGGGUAAAGGCCUACCAAGGCGACGAUCUGUAGCGGGUCUUAGAGGAUGAUCCGCCACACUGGGACUGAGACACGGCCCAGACUCCUACGGGAGGCAGCAGUGGGGACUAUUGGACCAUGGGCGGAAGCCUGAUCCAGUCAUGCCGCGUGUGUGAAGAAGGCCUUAUGGUUGUAAAGCACUUUAAGCGAGGAGGAGGCUACUUUAGUUAAUACCUAGAGAUAGUGGACGUUACUCGCAGAAUAAGCACCGGCUAACUCUGUGCCAGCCGCCGCAGUAA
This 501-nucleotide ribosomal RNA is filed under the name uncultured bacterium. RNAcentral describes it as "partial 16S ribosomal RNA". It matches the Rfam family "Bacterial small subunit ribosomal RNA", at positions 30 to 523 of the family's 1533-position model. The record is from RNAcentral.